This 591-nucleotide long non-coding RNA is filed under the name Chinchilla lanigera (long-tailed chinchilla). Its description in RNAcentral is "lncRNA (ENSCLAG00000027431.1)". Lineage: Eukaryota; Metazoa; Chordata; Mammalia; Rodentia; Chinchillidae. The record is from RNAcentral.
AGGUAAUGCAAGAUCAAAGGGGUAAGCAAUACUGGGGGCCCCCAGGCCAGAAGCACUCCCCAAAACAUGCCUCCUCCAAGAAAUAAAAAAAAAGUAAGCCAGGCAUGGUGUUAUACCUCUAUAAUCCCAGCACUCAGGAGGCUGAGGCAGGAGGAUCACCACAAGUUCAAGGCAAUCCUGACCUGCCUAGUGACACCUUCUCUUUAAAAAAACAAAUAAAUGCCCAGUGAAUAGAGGUAAAUAAAUGCCCAGUGAAUAGAAGCUCCAUGAGGCACUGCUCUGACAGCUGUGGCCCUUGGUCCCCAACCUGGCCAGUUCCCUGCGGCACAUGAGCCAGAUGGCCUCUGAGGGAUCCCCUUGAUGCUACCGUGUUCCCGAGCCCAGGCACUGUCCAUGGGAAAGCCGCCACCAGGGCAGGAGGCCUCGCCUCAACACUUCCGCUCUCACAGGUUGAUGGGCUCCGCCAUCCAGACGACAGACAGACAUCUGGGCUGUAGUCACAGCAGAAAUCCUGAGGACCCUGCUAACGGUCAGGACUGUGGUGGGCCGAGUACACACCCCAAGUCAAGGCAAGGCUCGAGACCACUGUAA